Molecule: ribosomal RNA, 254 nt
Filed under: uncultured bacterium
Lineage: Bacteria
Description: partial 16S ribosomal RNA
Rfam family: Bacterial small subunit ribosomal RNA
Source: RNAcentral
UACGAAGGGGGCUAGCGUUGUUCGGAAUUACUGGGCGUAAAGCGCGCGCAGGCGGUCUUCCAAGUCAGUGGUGAAAGCCUGGAGCUCAACUCCAGAACUGCCAUUGAAACUGUUAGACUUGAGUACGAGAGAGGUGAGUGGAAUUCCCAGUGUAGAGGUGAAAAUUCGUAGAUAUUGGGAAGAACACCAGUGGCGAAGGCGGCUCACUGGCUCGUAACUGACGCUCAGGCGCGACAGCGUGGGGAUCAAACAGG